RNAcentral lists this ribosomal RNA (1350 nucleotides) under metagenome. RNAcentral describes it as "bacterial LSU rRNA". It matches the Rfam family "Bacterial large subunit ribosomal RNA", at positions 1564 to 2925 of the family's 2925-position model. The record is from RNAcentral.
UGAGUACGAGCUGCUACGGCAGCGAAGUGGGUGAUGUCAAGCUUCCAAGAAAAGCCCUAUACCCGUUAAGGCAUGAUGGCCUGUACCCGAAACCGACACAGGUGGGGUGGUAGAGAAUACCGAGGGGCGCGAGGUAACUCUCUCUAAGGAACUCGGCAAAAUGGCCCCGUAACUUCGGGGGAAGGGGUGCCACCGCAAGGUGGUCGCAGUGAAGAGGCCCAGGCGACUGUUUACCAAAAACACAGGUCUCCGCUAAGUCGCAAGACGAUGUAUGGGGGCUGACGCCUGCCCAGUGCCGGAAGGUUAAGGAAGCUGGUCAGCGCAAGCGAAGCUGGCGACUGAAGCCCCGGUGAACGGCGGCCGUAACUAUAACGGUCCUAAGGUAGCGAAAUUCCUUGUCGGGUAAGUUCCGACCCGCACGAAAGGCGUAACGAUCUGGGCGCUGUCUCGGAGAGAGGCUCGGCGAAAUAGAAUUGUCUGUGAAGAUGCGGACUACGUGCACCCGGACAGAAAGACCCUAUGAAGCUUUACUGUAGCUUGGUAUUGUGCCCGGGCUCUGAAUGCGCAGGAUAGGUGGGAGGCUUUGAUCCAUUGCUUGUGGGUAAUGGUGAGCCAACGGUGAGAUACCACUCUUUCAGAGCUAGGGUUCUAACGGUCACCCGUUAUCCGGGGACCGGACAGUAUCAGGUGGGCAGUUUGACUGGGGCGGUCGCCUCCUAAAAGGUAACGGAGGCGCGCAAGGGUUCCCUCAGGCUGGUUGGAAAUCAGCCGACGAGUGUAAAGGCAGAAGGGAGCUUGACUGUGAGACCUACAAGUCGAACAGGGACGAAAGUCGGCCUUAGUGAUCCGACGGUUCUGAGUGGAAGGGCCGUCGCUCAACGGAUAAGAGUUACUCUAGGGAUAACAGGCUGAUCUCCCCCAAGAGUUCACAUCGACGGGGAGGUUUGGCACCUCGGUGUCGGCUCAUCGCAACCUGGGGCUGAAGUCGGUCCCAAGGGUUGGGCUGUUCGCCCAUUAAAGCGGUACGCGAGCUGGGUUCAGAACGUCGUGAGACAGUUCGGUCCAUAUCCGGUGCAUGCGCAGGAAUAUUGAGAGGAUUUCUCCCUAGUACGAGAGGACCAGGAGGAACGCACCUCUGGUGUGCCAGUUAUCGUGCCAACGGUAAACGCUGGGUAGCCAUGUGCGGAGAGGAUAACCGCUGAAAGCAUCUAAGUGGGAAGCCCACCUCAAGAUGAGUAUUCCCAUGGCGUUAGCCAGUAAGGUCACGGGCAGAACACCCGUUGAUAGGCUCUACGUGGAAGCCGGGCAACCGGUGAAGCGGAGGAGUACUAAUAGACCGAGGGCUUGACC